This 253-nucleotide ribosomal RNA is filed under the name uncultured bacterium. RNAcentral's name for it is "partial 16S ribosomal RNA". It matches the Rfam family "Bacterial small subunit ribosomal RNA", at positions 524 to 776 of the family's 1533-position model. The record is from RNAcentral.
UACGUAGGGGGCAAGCGUUGUCCGGAAUCAUUGGGCGUAAAGCGCGUGUAGGCGGUCCGGUAAGUCCGCUGUGAAAGUCGGGGGCUCAACCCUCGGAUGCCGGUGGAUACUGUCGGGCUUGAGUACGGAAGAGGCGAGUGGAAUUCCUGGUGUAGCGGUGAAAUGCGUAGAUAUCGGGAGGAACACCGGUGGCGAAGGCGGCCCCCUGGUUGGAUACUGACGCUGAGACGCGAAAGCGUGGGGAGCAAACAGG